This is an RNA transcript of Cervus elaphus (red deer), 2312 nucleotides long. It is a transcript of the gene named phosphopantothenoylcysteine decarboxylase, with no coding region annotated. The record is from RefSeq and is a predicted model, not a curated record. The transcript has 8 exons. Lineage: Eukaryota; Metazoa; Chordata; Mammalia; Artiodactyla; Cervidae.
UGCCAGUCGGAAUCAGCGGGAGGGGCGACCGAGAUAACGCGAUAUUUGGGGGCUGCCCCGAGACGCCCCUGGCGCGGAUCCUAAAUCCUGACAGAGCUUUAUGGAGCCCAAUUCUGGCAGGCUUCCAGGACUCGAAGCCACCAGACCCCACAUGGAACCAAGGGCCGCGUGUUCAGCUGCUGCACCCUUGAGAAGACCGUUCCAUGUUCUCGUGGGAGUCACUGGGAGUGUUGCAGCCCUGAAGUUGCCUGUUCUGGUAUCAAAGCUUUUGGACAUUCCUGAUCUGAAAGUAGCCGUGGUCACAACUGAGAGGGCCAAACAUUUUUACAGCCCCCGGGAUGUUCCUGUCACCCUCUACAGCGACGCUGAUGAAUGGGAGAUGUGGAAGUGCCGAUCGGACCCGGUUCUCCACAUCGACCUGCGGAGGUGGGCGGACCUUAUGCUGGUGGCGCCUCUCGAUGCCAACACUCUGGGGAAGGUGGCCAGUGGCAUCUGUGACAACUUGCUUACCUGUGUCAUCCGGGCCUGGGACCGCAGCAAACCCCUGCUCUUCUGCCCGGCGAUGAACACCGCCAUGUGGGAGCACCCCAUCACCGAGCAGCAGGUGGGCCAGCUCAAGGCCUUCGGCUACAUCGAGAUCCCCUGUGUGGCCAAGAAGCUGGUCUGUGGAGACCAAGAUACAGCCUUGACCAACAGUCUCACAUCUCACAAGGAAGCAGACAAAGCCCAGCUGGCAAAAGUAAGGGGCCUAGAAGGUUUUCUCGGAUCGUGUCAGGUUUUCUCCAUUUAUUCAUCCCUGAUGGUAGUUCCAAGGGAAGAGGGGUACGAGGAAAAGAAAGCCUUUUUUAAUAGAGCAGGCUGACCAAGGCACAGGGAGAGCAAGGACUUGGACCCCUGUCCGCAGCAUUCAAGAGGCAGCGCCUGAGCCCGCUGGGAGGGGCAGCCACCAGGACCAGAUUAGGGGAGGAUGCCCCGUGCAGCUGAGCCUCAGAGCCUUGUUCACUUGGUUAGAAAGUGCAGACAGUAAAGUAUGCCUUUUCCUUGUGGCUCUGAAAGAGGAAUGAUGAUGAAGGGGCUCUGAGGUCAUCAGAGAACAAAGAUAGUCCUGAACUAGACUAGACUGGAGAAUUCCCAAAGGAAUCCUGCAGUAAGAGCCAGACCUCUUCCCCGCCCCGACGGCUCUGCCUGCAGCCAAGGAGCCCCGUCUGGUGAUGAGAACCUGCCUGUUAGAAGUCUUGGGCUGUGAACAUGCCCCUCUCACCAGCUUCCGGGGGAGGAGACUCACCUGUGCUGAGCCCUGGUGCUAGGCCCUUUGCACACAAGACUUGUACUUCAUCGGUCAUCCUGCGAGGUGCGCACUGCUGCCAUCCCCAUCUUAGUGAGGGAAGAUGAUGCACAGAGGAUUUACCCAAUCGGAGUAAAAAAUGUGGAGAUGGAUUUUGAGCCAGGUGUGGCCAGUUCCAAGGUUGGCCCUCUUUCUUCUCCAUGGAAAGUGAUCUCCAGUUGCUAUGAGUAUGCCUUCAGGAUGGGAUGUCAGCUGCCAAAUAGCUAGUUUUCAGACAUUUGAGGAAGCUACCGGAGGAUGUGCUCCAGCCCACAGAAGGGCAUAAACCAAGAAAGAAGAAAUAAGGACCCACUACUGAGAAUAUGGAGGCAAGAAGAAUGGAAUUUUCUCCAAGAGUCCCAAGUAAUCCAGAGAGGAUGUCUGUGUGGCUUUCCUUCCCUACCUCGCCCAACUCCCACACUGGCCUUUAUAAAUGAAUGGUGUGGUCUUUGCUGUGAAGAAAAAAAAGAGGAAAUAGAAUGCAGGAAAAACAGUUCAUUAAGGGAAGAAGCACAGGAUGAUAGCCGUGGGGCUGAUCUAGAGCUAUUAGUUCAGAUGGAGGCAGGAGAACCAGGGGCUCCAGGAGGGGUGUCUCAGAGUUAAAAAAAAUAACGAAUUAUAGUGAAAAUGUGUAUCGAGAAUCAUUUUACAGGACUUUUGCAGGGUGUGGGAUGUGUCAAAAGAAAAAAAAAAAGCAAAUGAAAAAAUGAGUCAACAAUUAAUUCUGAAGAAGAAAAGAAGUUUAUGAAGCAAGGACAGGUAUUUAUGAAGAAAGGAAAGGACAGCAUAUUACUUGGCUUAGCAGUGAGCACCAUUUACUGAUUGUGAGUGUAACCAAGAAAUGUGGUGUUAUGAUAUCAAAAGGAGAGGAAAGAGUGUAAGUGAAUCUCAUCUGUCAUGAGAGGAGUGCCAAGAGACAGUAUCUAAAUUGGACUUCUCUGAGAUAGAAAUAAUAGCAAUAAAUGCUUUAUUUUGUUGUUGUUUUUCA